RNAcentral lists this unclassified non-coding RNA (1092 nucleotides) under Daphnia pulicaria. RNAcentral describes it as "uncharacterized LOC124336525, transcript variant X5". Lineage: Eukaryota; Metazoa; Arthropoda; Branchiopoda; Diplostraca; Daphniidae. The record is from RNAcentral.
UGUCAACUCAUCUUUACCAGCAAAGUUGGAGACCUCAAAAUGCACCUGGCUUUUUUUUAUACCAAGGAAUCUGUCGUCUGUCACUAGGUGGCUAAAAUAUGUCCACCAGGUAGCGCAGUGUCUCCGUGAGUCCGUGACUCAUCAUCACUUCAGUUCAGCCUUCAGCGACGAGAUUUCCGCCAUUAAUACGAUAAGCGGACAUGUGUUAAUUCUCACGAUUCUCACUAUGCCGUCAUUGCCGUGUGCUUCUACAUUUUCCAACAAGUUAAAAAAAGGAAUGGCUGUACGUCUCAUCCCAUAUAUGGAAACAAGUGGCAGAAAUAGAAGUGGUGAUCGACACGGGAGCCACAACCAAACAAGGCAGUGUAGGAUGACUGUGAUGGAUGAUGAAGCUGUUAACACGUGCACGUACAUCUCCACAUUACGACUAAUCAGACUGAAAAUGCAGUUGCUUUCUGCAAAGGUGAAUCUUUUCUUGUAUUUUGAGAACACAACACGUGGUCACAUUUAGCUAUUAAUCAAAGGCACUUGCUAUCGGAAUUAUCCACAAACGGAAUUGUCAGCCAGGUUAAGUUGAAGUUGUUUGCUGUUGCUGUCUUAUGCAGAACAUUUUUACUUGCUGCUUUCUGACUGCGCAAAUUGGGAAGCUGCCUUUUUUUCAAAUUUUGAAAACUUUUAGUUGUUUUUGAUUCAUAUCUGAUUUGUUUCAUAGGUUUUCCAUUGUGUUGGUGUUUGAUGGAAGACUGAAAUUGCCUGUGGUGUUGCAGUCCAAUGUGCUGAUGCCUGCCCUACCCUGGUUUAAUUAGUACCAAAAGAUCGAAUUUACGAUGGUAGUAAUUUUCCGUUUUUGUUUAGUGUACUCAUUAAGUGGGUUUUUUGUCGCUAUGUAAGUGAUUUGAGCAAUGUGUGAGUUUUAUUCUAUUUGUUUUUACGCGUCUUCUCAGCAGAAUUUAUUAUGUCUUAGGUGUACUUGGAAUGUGAAAUGAUUGAGACUUGCUGAAUAGUGACAAGUUCAUUUCUAAUUAAUGAGACAUUUAAAAUAGACAACAUAUUAAAUAACCUUGAUUAUUAAUAAAUUUUUUACCUUGAAAA